Molecule: long non-coding RNA, 1696 nt
Organism: Astatotilapia calliptera (eastern happy)
Lineage: Eukaryota; Metazoa; Chordata; Actinopteri; Cichliformes; Cichlidae
Source: Ensembl
AAUCCCCCGGCAGCCUAUGUCUAUUGCAGCAUAACUAAGGGAGGAUUCAGGGUCACCUGGUCCAGCCCUAACUAUAUGCUUUAGCAAAAAGGAAAGUUUUAAGCCUAAUCUUAAAAGUAGAGAUAGUGUCUGUCUCCUGAAUCCAAACUGGAAGCUGGUUCCACAGAAGAGGGGCCUGAAAACUGAAGGCUCUCCCUCCCAUUCUACUUUUAAAUACUCUAGGAACAACAAGUAGGCCUGCAGAGCGAGAGCGAAGUGCUCUAAUAGGGUGAUAUGGUACUACAAGGUCAUUAAGAUAAGAUGGGGCCUGAUUAUUUAAGACCUUGUAUGUGAGGAGCAGGAUUUUGAAUUCAAUUCUGGAUUUAACAGGAAGCCAAUGAUGGGAAGCCAAAACAGGAGAAAUAUGCUCUCUCUUUCUAGUCCCUGUCAGUACUCUUGCUGCAGCAUUUUGGAUUAGCUGAAGGCUUUUCAGUGAGUUUUUUGGACAUCCUGAUAAUAAUGAAUUACAGUAGUCCAGCCUGGAAGUAAUAAAUGCAUGAACUAGUUUUUCAGCGUCACUCUGAGACAGGAUAUUUCUCAUUUUAGAGAUGUUGCGCAAAUGGAAGAACGCAGUCUUACAUAUUUGUUUAAUAUGUGCACUGAAGGACAUGUCCUGGUCAAAAAUGACUCCAAGGUUCCUCACAGCGUUACUGGAGGCCAAGGUAAUGCCAUCCAGAGUAAGAAUCUGGUUAGAUACCAUAUUUCUAGGCUUUUCAGGGCCGAGUACAAUAACCUCAGUUUUAUCUGAAUUAAGAAGCAGAAAGUUAGCGGCCAUCCAGGUCUUUAUGUCUUUAAGACAUUCCUGCAGUUUAACUCAUUGGUGUGUGUUAUCUGGCUUCAUGGACAGAUAGAGCUGGGUGUCAUCUGCAUAGCAGUGAAAAUGUAUGCUAUGUCUUCUAAUGAUGCUGCCUAAGGGAAGCAUGUAUAAUGUAAACAGAAUUGGUCCUAGCACUGAACCUUGUGGAACUCCAUAAUUAACCUCAGUGUGUGAAGAGGACUCUCCAUUUACAUGAACAAAUUGGAGUCUAUUAGAUAGAUAUGAUACAAACCACUGCAGUGCAGUACCUGUAAUACCUACAGCAUGUUCGAAUCGCUCUAAUAGGAUAUUAUGGUCGACAGUAUCGAAUGCUGCACUAAGGUCUAGCAGGACAAGCACAGAGAUGAGUCCACUCUCAGAGGCCAUAAGAAGAUCAUUUGUAACCUUCACUAAAGCUGUUUCUGUGUUGUGAUGAGCUCUGAAACCUGACUGAAACUCUUCAAAUAAACCAUUCCUCUGCAGAUGAUCUGUUAGCUGUUUGACAACUACUCUUUCAAGGAUUUUUGAUAUGAAAGGAAGGUUGGAGAUUGGCCUAUAAUUAGCUAAGACUGCUGGGUCUAGACAUGGCUUUUUGAGUAAAGGUUUAACUACAGCUAGCUUGAAGGCCUGUGGUACAUAGCCGAUCAUUAGAGAUAGGUUGAUCAUAUUUAAGAUCGAAGAAUUAAUUAAUGGCAGGACUUCUUUGAGCAGUUUUGUAGGAAUGGGGUCUAAAAGACACGUUGAUGGUUUGGAGGAAGUAAUUAUUGAAACUAACUCAGAAAGAUCAAUUGGAGAAAAAGAGUCUAACUUAACAUCGAUGGUACUAAGAGUAGCUGUAGAUAAUAUUACAUCUGUGGGAUG